AAGUCGAACGGUAACAGGAAGCAGCUUGCUGCUUCGCUGACGAGUGGCGGACGGGUGAGUAAUGUCUGGGAAACUGCCUGAUGGAGGGGGAUAACUACUGGAAACGGUGGCUAAUACCGCAUAACGUCGCAAGACCAAAGAGGGGGACCUUCGGGCCUCUUGCCAUCAGAUGUGCCCAGAUGGGAUUAGCUAGUUGGUGAGGUAACGGCUCACCAAGGCGACGAUCCCUAGCUGGUCUGAGAGGAUGACCAGCCACACUGGAACUGAGACACGGUCCAGACUCCUACGGGAGGCAGCAGUGGGGAAUAUUGCACAAUGGGCGCAAGCCUGAUGCAGCCAUGCCGCGUGUA
RNAcentral lists this ribosomal RNA (350 nucleotides) under Salmonella enterica. Its description in RNAcentral is "bacterial SSU rRNA". It matches the Rfam family "Bacterial small subunit ribosomal RNA", at positions 59 to 405 of the family's 1533-position model. The record is from RNAcentral. Lineage: Bacteria; Pseudomonadati; Pseudomonadota; Gammaproteobacteria; Enterobacterales; Enterobacteriaceae.